UGCGUAGGCGGACUAAUAAGUCAGUGGUGAAAUCUCUCGGCUCAACCGGGAAACUGCCAUUGAUACUGUUAGUCUUGAGUUCGGUUGAGGUAGGCGGAAUGUGUAAUGUAGCGGUGAAAUGCUUAGAUAUUACACAGAACACCAAUUGCGUAGGCAGCUUACUAGACCGACACUGACGCUGAGGCACGAAAGCGUGGGUAGCGAACAGGAUUAGUUACCCUGGUAGUCC
RNAcentral lists this ribosomal RNA (229 nucleotides) under uncultured bacterium. RNAcentral's name for it is "partial 16S ribosomal RNA". It matches the Rfam family "Bacterial small subunit ribosomal RNA", at positions 568 to 796 of the family's 1533-position model. The record is from RNAcentral.